UGGUGCUUGCAUCAUGAUUUACAUUUGAGUGAGUGGCGAACUGGUGAGUAACACGUGGGAAACCUGCCCAGAAGCGGGGGAUAACACCUGGAAACAGAUGCUAAUACCGCAUAACAACUUGGACCGCAUGGUCCGAGCUUGAAAGAUGGCUUCGGCUAUCACUUUUGGAUGGUCCCGCGGCGUAUUAGCUAGAUGGUGGGGUAACGGCUCACCAUGGCAAUGAUACGUAGCCGACCUGAGAGGGUAAUCGGCCACAUUGGGACUGAGACACGGCCCAAACUCCUACGGGAGGCAGCAGUAGGGAAUCUUCCACAAUGGACGAAAGUCUGAUGGAGCAACGCCGCGUGAGUGAAGAAGGGUUUCGGCUCGUAAAACUCUGUUGUUAAAGAAGAACAUAUCUGAGAGUAACUGUUCAGGUAUUGACGGUAUUUAACCAGAAAGCCACGGCUAACUACGUGCCAGCAGCCGCGGUAAUACGUAGGUGGCAAGCGUUGUCCGGAUUUAUUGGGCGUAAAGCGAGCGCAGGCGGUUUUUUAAGUCUGAUGUGAAAGCCUUCGGCUCAACCGAAGAAGUGCAUCGGAAACUGGGAAACUUGAGUGCAGAAGAGGACAGUGGAACUCCAUGUGUAGCGGUGAAAUGCGUAGAUAUAUGGAAGAACACCAGUGGCGAAGGCGGCUGUCUGGUCUGUAACUGACGCUGAGGCUCGAAAGUAUGGGUAGCAAACAGGAUUAGAUACCCUGGUAGUCCAUACCGUAAACGAUGAAUGCUAAGUGUUGGAGGGUUUCCGCCCUUCAGUGCUGCAGCUAACGCAUUAAGCAUUCCGCCUGGGGAGUACGGCCGCAAGGCUGAAACUCAAAGGAAUUGACGGGGGCCCGCACAAGCGGUGGAGCAUGUGGUUUAAUUCGAAGCUACGCGAAGAACCUUACCAGGUCUUGACAUACUAUGCAAAUCUAAGAGAUUAGACGUUCCCUUCGGGGACAUGGAUACAGGUGGUGCAUGGUUGUCGUCAGCUCGUGUCGUGAGAUGUUGGGUUAAGUCCCGCAACGAGCGCAACCCUUAUUAUCAGUUGCCAGCAUUAAGUUGGGCACUCUGGUGAGACUGCCGGUGACAAACCGGAGGAAGGUGGGGAUGACGUCAAAUCAUCAUGCCCCUUAUGACCUGGGCUACACACGUGCUACAAUGGAUGGUACAACGAGUUGCGAACUCGCGAGAGUAAGCUAAUCUCUUAAAGCCAUUCUCAGUUCGGAUUGUAGGCUGCAACUCGCCUACAUGAAGUCGGAAUCGCUAGUAAUCGCGGAUCAGCAUGCCGCGGUGAAUACGUUCCCGGGCCUUGUACACACCGCCCGUCACACCAUGAGAGUUUGUAACACCCAAAGUCGGUGGGGUAAC
RNAcentral lists this ribosomal RNA (1389 nucleotides) under Lactobacillus sp. RNAcentral's name for it is "bacterial SSU rRNA". It matches the Rfam family "Bacterial small subunit ribosomal RNA", at positions 62 to 1439 of the family's 1533-position model. The record is from RNAcentral. Lineage: Bacteria; Bacillati; Bacillota; Bacilli; Lactobacillales; Lactobacillaceae.